AGAGCGGCAGCUGGGAGGGCCUGGACCCACAGAGCUGAGGACCUGGGUCCCCAGGGCCAAGCCAGACAGGCACCAACAAGGACACUGCCCACUCCAUAAAAUCAAAAGAAACCGAGGCCUGAUGAUGAGGGGCUGAGGGCCGCCCCGCAAUGAACAGCCAUGAUCCCUUGCCCGGUUUCCAGACCACAGCGAGGCUGCAGGUCCGGGUGAGCGAAGGAGGGAGCAGGUGCCCAGGAGUAACAGCCGUGCGACCCCGGACCAAGAAGAUGUGGUGGGAAUGAUGGCACCUGCAUCACACAGCGGCUGUGAGAACCACGAAGACGACCCAUGUUUCACAGCACCGCCUCCUUCCUCGCUCCGCUGACUGCGCAGCCCAUGCUCCGAGAAAGGGGAGUAGUCUAAAGAGAAUGCCCCACACCCCGCCCCCACCAGGCUCUGCCUCCCUCCCGCGGGGCACCAGCCGGGGCCCUCUCGUCUCUCCAGCUGCAUCACUCCGACAAUUCUGCCCCCUCCCACGUGAUGGGGUUUUCCCUCCACACAGAAUCUUUCCCUUCAAGAGAGAAACAUGGUGCCAUUUCUCUCAUUUAAAAAAAACAAGGCCCCCUAUUCUGCACUGUGCCCUCAGCUCCUGCCCUGGGCUCACUCCCGGGAAGGCUGCCAUAUGCCCUGUCUCCACCCCCUCAGGAGGCCCCUGCAAUCUGGCUCUGGUCCUCAGUGGCCACCACUGACCCCCACGAUGCAAAGCCCCUGGUCCCUCCCUAACCCUCCUCCCAUGGCCACUUGGCUGCCACCCCAUAGGCCCCGACAUACGUGUCCCCUCAGCUCCUCUGACACCCCCCCACCUCUGUCACUCCUCAGUCUCCAGGGCUCAGGUGGGGCCUCUUUUCCUCCCCAUCUCCACCUCCCCUCCAGGUGACCUCAGCCAGGCGCGUGGCAUUAGAUACCCCACGCUUAUACUUCCAGUCCCAACUCUGCCACUGAGCUCCAGCCUGUAACUCCGGUCACCCCCCGCCCCCAACGCCCCAUCUGGAUGUUGGACAGGUUGACACAUCCCAGGGCAACUCCUGAUUACUCCCAAGUCUGCUCCAACCCUGGUCUUCUGCAUCUCAGAAAGUGACACCACUGUUCCUCUAAAGCUCAAACCAGAUACCUGGAUUCCUCCCCAUCCCUCAGCCCACAUCCCAGUGACGAUCCCUUCCCU
This 1201-nucleotide long non-coding RNA is filed under the name Equus asinus (donkey). RNAcentral's name for it is "lncRNA (ENSEASG00005034177.1)". The record is from RNAcentral. Lineage: Eukaryota; Metazoa; Chordata; Mammalia; Perissodactyla; Equidae.